Molecule: non-coding RNA, 444 nt
Organism: Camellia sinensis
Lineage: Eukaryota; Viridiplantae; Streptophyta; Magnoliopsida; Ericales; Theaceae
Source: RefSeq, a predicted model, not a curated record
UUCAGAAGAAGAUUACUGCUGGGGAAUCUUUCACAUGUCCUAUUCAUAAAUGCUCUGUCUACAAACUGGGUGAAGAUAAGAUGGAUCCUGAUUUGCAAUUUGCUGUAUGCAGGCGCUGUCCCAAGUCAUUUCACAAAAAAUGCUUGCCUACGAAGAUUGCUUUUGAAGAUGAUGAGGAUCAGGGCAUCGUACAAAGGGCUUGGGAAGGUCUUAUUCCAAACCGUAUUUUGAUAUAUUGCUUUGAGUGGAUCUGCAACAAAAGUUGGGAAGUCUACCACCAAUGCGAAUAGGGCUUCCUUGGGAGAGAGGUUGUAUGCCUUGAUUAACAAGGAUUCUAGGAACGAGGACACAUCUGAUAGUGAACAUAAGCAAACCCUGCCUGACAAGCGUGUUGGAAAGGAAAUGAGCAGUUCAGUGCCUCUAGAUGAUAAUAGAAAACGGAGG